UAGGGAAUCUUCCACAAUGGGCGAAAGCCUGAUGGAGCAACGCCGCGUGAGUGAUGAAGGCCUUCGGGUUGUAAAACUCUGUCAUUCGGGACGAACCGGAGUCUGAGGAAAUGCAGACUCUCUGACGGUACCGGAGGAGGAAGCCCCGGCUAACUACGUGCCAGCAGCCGCGGUAAUACGUAGGGGGCAAGCGUUGUCCGGAUUCACUGGGCGUAAAGCGCGCGCAGGCGGUGAUGUAAGUCUGAGGUGAAAACCCGAAGCUCAACUUCGGGACUGCCUUGGAUACUGCGUCACUUGAGGAUAGGAGAGGCAAGGGGAAUUCCACGUGUAGCGGUGAAAUGCGUAGAGAUGUGGAGGAACACCUGUGGCGAAGGCGCCUUGCUGGCCUAUUUCUGACGCUGAGGCGCGAAAGCGUGGGGAGCAAACAGG
Molecule: ribosomal RNA, 429 nt
Filed under: Actinomycetes bacterium
Lineage: Bacteria; Bacillati; Actinomycetota; Actinomycetes
Also listed under: 1 other name
Description: Actinobacteria bacterium partial 16S ribosomal RNA
Rfam family: Bacterial small subunit ribosomal RNA
Source: RNAcentral